This is a long non-coding RNA of Anas platyrhynchos (mallard), 502 nucleotides long. RefSeq lists it as uncharacterized. Lineage: Eukaryota; Metazoa; Chordata; Aves; Anseriformes; Anatidae. The record is from RefSeq and is a predicted model, not a curated record.
AUUUCCUCCCAUCUACAUUCUGGACCAAACGAACAGUGUUUCUUGUGUGUGGUUAGUGUUUAAGGCUUCAUUGUGUACAUGGCCUUGAAAGAUAUAUUUUUAUAGAAGAAAAGAAGCAAACAAUUCUGAAAUACCACUGGAAAAAUGAAGUGCAGAAGAGCUGGCUUUUGGCCUUGGCUUGACACAGCCUAGCUCACUGCAGAAGACUGGCCUCACCUGAUAGCAGAUGUCCAAACAUUAAUCUUCUCCCUGCUUUCUAUAAGAAAAAUAAUGCACAGUGUAAAUCACCAGCUCCUCUUAUUCAAAACCCAAAGACAGCUUGACUGGAAGCUCACUGGAGCAAGUGCCAUCUUCCUGUUCUAUGACGGUACAGCACUAAGUAAAAGAGAACUAUGACCUGUUGUUAGGGAUUUCCUUGGGUCAAGAGUCAGUAUCAAGUAAAGAAAUAAUGAUGGCACCAAAUCUCUUGUCAUCAGAUCAAUAUCAGAUAAGAAUAAAAUUA